UUUUGGAACACAGGAGGACUAUGGAAAUGCUUGGAACUUCGUGCUGGAAAAUGCAAAGAACUUGGAGUUUAAUGAGUUGUUGUAUGGAGUGGAAAAUAUGAGAAUGUGGACAGAAAUGCAGACAAUAGAGGAUUGGUUGGUGAAGUUGCAGAGGGAAGUUAUGAAUCUAUUAGAACAGGACCACCGAAUAUGGACUGAAUCAAAGUGAGGCUGGAACUCGCAGACUCAACAAUUUUUUGUAGAAUGUGGAACCAAGACAUUUUUUGCUCCCAGAACUUAGAGGGCUUAACGGAGCUGGCAAAAGCAGUGGUCUGCAACCCUUCCCCAAAAAAUGAAGAGAGAGAGAACCACAAGUCUAAUCUUUUUGUCCACUGGAGCAUGGUCCAACUUCCAGUGCCCUACCCUUGAGCAAAUCACAAGGGAUGUUGCAAGUGGCAACGUGAACAAAUACCGAACAGCUUCAUCAUCAUUAUCCUUAUUCUUCUCUUCAUUGAAGAUCAGUGUCAGCAAAGCCUAAUGAAGACCAGCAAAGAGGGGCAAGGAAGAACAAAAAAAUCAAACAACCAGAACCCUGCCCUCCCACGUCCCUACCCCUCCUGAGUUCCAGGGACUAAACCAGCAGUCAAAGAGUACCCACGGAGGGAGACAUGACGCCAACAGCAUAUGGAGCAGAGGAUGG
Non-coding RNA from Rattus norvegicus (Norway rat), 679 nucleotides. Lineage: Eukaryota; Metazoa; Chordata; Mammalia; Rodentia; Muridae. The record is from RefSeq and is a predicted model, not a curated record.